This 104-nucleotide transfer RNA is filed under the name uncultured archaeon A07HB70. It matches the Rfam family "tRNA". From Rfam's summary of the family: Transfer RNA (tRNA) molecules are approximately 80 nucleotides in length. The record is from Rfam by way of RNAcentral.
AGUCCCGUGGUGUAGUGGCCAAUCAUGAGGGCCUUUGGACGCGACGCGGCACCGCCGCGUGCGGGAGACAGCCCUCGACGGCGGUUCGAAUCCGCCCGGGACUA